Molecule: ribosomal RNA, 423 nt
Filed under: uncultured bacterium
Lineage: Bacteria
Description: bacterial SSU rRNA
Rfam family: Bacterial small subunit ribosomal RNA
Source: RNAcentral
AAUGAACGCUGGCGGCAGGCCUAACACAUGCAAGUCGAACGCACCUUUCGGGGUGAGUGGCGGACGGGUGAGUAACGCGUGGGAAUAUGCCCUUUGGUACGGAAUAGUCCUGGGAAACUGGGGGUAAUACCGUAUGUGCCCUUCGGGGAAAGAUUUAUCGCCAAAGGAUUAGCCCGCGUUGGAUUAGGUAGUUGGUGGGGUAAUGGCCUACCAAGCCGACGAUCCAUAGCUGGUUUGAGAGGAUGAUCAGCCACACUGGGACUGAGACACGGCCCAGACUCCUACGGGAGGCAGCAGUGGGGAAUCUUAGACAAUGGGGGAAACCCUGAUCUAGCCAUGCCGCGUGAUCGAUGAAGGCCUUAGGGUUGUAAAGAUCUUUCAGAUGGGAAGAUAAUGACGGUACCAUCAGAAGAAGCACCGGCU